RNAcentral lists this ribosomal RNA (465 nucleotides) under Vreelandella stevensii. RNAcentral's name for it is "partial 16S ribosomal RNA". It matches the Rfam family "Bacterial small subunit ribosomal RNA", at positions 338 to 795 of the family's 1533-position model. Lineage: Bacteria; Pseudomonadati; Pseudomonadota; Gammaproteobacteria; Oceanospirillales; Halomonadaceae. The record is from RNAcentral.
CCUACGGGGUGCUGCAGUGGGGAAUAUUGGACAAUGGGCGAAAGCCUGAUCCAGCCAUGCCGCGUGUGUGAAGAAGGCCUUCGGGUUGUAAAGCACUUUCAGUGGGGAAGAAAGCCUUGGGGCUAAUACCCUCGAGGAAGGACAUCACCCACAGAAGAAGCACCGGCUAACUCCGUGCCAGCAGCCGCGGUAAUACGGAGGGUGCGAGCGUUAAUCGGAAUUACUGGGCGUAAAGCGCGCGUAGGCGGUCUGAUAAGCCGGUUGUGAAAGCCCCGGGAUCAACCUGGGAACGGCAUCCGGAACUGUCAGGCUAGAGUGCAGGAGAGGAAGGUAGAAUUCCCGGUGUAGCGGUGAAAUGCGUAGAGAUCGGGAGGAAUACCAGUGGCGAAGGCGGCCUUCUGGACUGACACUGACGCUGAGGUGCGAAAGCGUGGGUAGCAAACAGGAUUAGAUACCCCUGUAGUC